AGAUUUAAUUUUUGAAGCUGCUAACUUUAAUUCCUAGAUUUUCUAGUUAAUCUU
RNAcentral lists this transfer RNA (54 nucleotides) under Parasacculina yatsui. RNAcentral's name for it is "tRNA-Ser". Lineage: Eukaryota; Metazoa; Arthropoda; Thecostraca; Polyascidae. The record is from RNAcentral.